GUGAAUCAUCGAAUUUUUGAACGCAAAUUGCACUCUCUGAUAUUCCGGAGAGUAUGCCUGUUUGAGGGUCAGUUAAAUUAAAAUCGGUGUUGUUGCUUGCUUUUGUGGUGAAGCGUCGGAAUUGAGUUGUCUUACCUUCGGUUAAGUGACUUUAAAUUUUUCAUGAUUUUCGUAGGUAUUUAAAUUUUUUAUGUACGUUUGAGAUAUCGAUUAAUUACUUAGGUCCGGUAAUCCCAUUGUCUCG
This 244-nucleotide unclassified non-coding RNA is filed under the name Glomeraceae sp. RNAcentral describes it as "partial contains 5.8S ribosomal RNA and internal transcribed spacer 2". The stretch from base 1 to 71 matches the Rfam family "5.8S ribosomal RNA", at positions 84 to 154 of the family's 154-position model. The record is from RNAcentral. Lineage: Eukaryota; Fungi; Glomeromycota; Glomeromycetes; Glomerales; Glomeraceae.